RNAcentral lists this transfer RNA (77 nucleotides) under Candidatus Obscuribacterales bacterium. Its description in RNAcentral is "tRNA-Pro". It matches the Rfam family "tRNA". From Rfam's summary of the family: Transfer RNA (tRNA) molecules are approximately 80 nucleotides in length. Their secondary structure includes four short double-helical elements and three loops (D, anti-codon, and T loops). Lineage: Bacteria; Bacillati; Candidatus Melainabacteria; Candidatus Obscuribacterales. The record is from RNAcentral. RNAcentral also lists the same sequence under 1 other name.
CGGGACGUAGCGCAGCUUGGUAGCGCGGUUGCUUUGGGAGCAAUAGGUCGCAGGUUCAAAUCCUGUCGUCCCGACCA